UGGAAGGGGAGGCAGAAGAAGAGCUGGACGUUUGAUGCUUGGCUCAGUAUUAGUUGGAGGAUUGUGGCGAGUGGAGGCACACGCUGACCUGCGGGAGGUGAUUACAGAUCCUCUGUACCUGUGCCCAGCCAUGGGCAGGGAUUAUCACACACUACCAUCACUAAUCCCCAUGGAAUAAAACCCCGACACUUUGAUGUCUGCCAAACAACCGAGACUCAGCAUCACGCACCAACCAUAAUUAACAAUCUACAGCUGGACCGGAGCCAGGCAAAGUGGUGGAGGUGCAAUGAGGGCUGGAGGAGACAGAGGAGGAGGAGAACCAGCUACAUGUGUAAGUGUAAAUGAACAUAUGUGGGGGUUGAAGGAGGCGGAGCCAGUUUGGAUGUGAUUCUUCAGUGAUCAAUAGAGGUCUGGGCUUUAACAACACAGUAAUAACCUGCCUGAAACUGAGAGAGAGACAACGUCCUGGAGCAUCACCAACUUCUGUACCUCUGUACCUGAGGAGCGCACACACACACACACACACACACACACACACACACUCUCACACACACACACACACACACACACACACACACACACACACACGCGCGCUAGGCAAACAUUCUUCAUGCCACCUACUCACAUUUUUAUCAGCGUGUACCAGUGUUCAUCACAACACGACUGAGUGAGUGUGUGUGGAUGAGCGCACUGGGCCCAGAACACAUACACCUCAUUUAAGAGGAUAAAACACCACGAAACCAAAGACUUUCAUCAAAGCAAGUGAGGAAGGAUGUCAGAGAUUUUUUCUAAAGAUGAAAGCGAGGGAUAUUCUCUCAUUUCGGCUGCUUGCUCCGUCUCUCUUUUAAAAUCCUUGAAGUAUCACAUCCACGUUUCUAUGACGAAUACAGAGCGGAGAGAGAGAGAGAAAGGGGGGUAAGAAGUUAUUUAUGUCCCAUGUUGUGUUAUGUGGUCUGUCACUUCUCAUUUUCUCCCCGGCCUGUCCAACUGGAAGACUUCAGUCAACCCUCUCCAAGCCUGUAUUUGCUGAGGUAAUUACAAAGUGACAGCUUCAAAUCCUCUGCCACACACAGACACACACACACACACACACACACACGCACACGCACGCACGCACGCACGCACGCACGCACGCACGCACACACGCACACACGCACGCACACACACACAAACACAGUUGGCGUAAGUUUCAGGCUUCAACUAAGUCAAACACGCAUCUCGCUCAUUUCAAAACCGACUGCACUCAGCAGAAAUUCAAGAAAGUACUGAAUAAUUAAUAAUCCUGAGAAUUAUAUAAUAUAAGGAAACGAAUGAAUGCCAGUGAAUCCAAAGACAUUUUUCUUGGCUAUCUGCACAUCCUGUAACACAUAAAAAAACAUGUGGGCUGCAAACACACUCACACAAACACGUCCAGCUUCCGUAUCCACUUAGAGGUGAUUGUAAGAACAUCUUUGAUCUCUUCUCCUUUCUUUUUGGAGGAGAUGCAUUGCCUGUACACAUAAUCCAUGACAGGUAUAAUGUGAUUUGGUAGUAUCUCUAAAUGGCAGGAAAACCAGCUGACAGAAAUUAAUAAGUUACAGCGGCAACGGAGGAGGUGGAGGAGGCGAGGCGAAGGUGGUGGGCUGACCUGGCAGCAAAACACACAGAAUCUCCACGUAUCGUCACGUAUUGAGCCCAAGAUGAGCUGUCUGCAGCCGCACGCCUCGCCGGCCUGUCGCCGCCGCUCUGGAUCACCGUUCCAGGCUCUGUCACAUGGUUGAGCCUUGGACCACAGUCAGAAAAAUGAGCUUGAGUCCAGAGCUGCCCUUUGAGGAAACACAUCCCCGAAGUCCAAAGAGGCUGCAAGCCUGCUCCGCUGGAAAGAAAGGGAUCGAGUGGAGCCACGAGGCACAUUCAGAGAUAUCACUGUAACUGUGAGCUUUUCUGACCGAACAAGUUACACAUGAAGUAAAAGUUGUUAUUGAGAACAAAAGCUAAUCAUUAACAGUACUCAGAGCUGCAGCAGGUCCCAGUCUGUUCUCCAGCAUCUUGAGACAAUCUGCUAUGAUGUACUUCUUAGGGUGUGCAGCUUUGGUGCCAUAUUGGACACUUUGCACUGCACAACACCGCCGAGCAGAUCGCAUCCACCCCUGCCUCCAUCUGAAUGAAGGCAGGGGUGGAUGCAGACGAUCGGAAAGAUCGUUUCCUGGCAACAGCGGGAAACGGCAACACUCAAUUCAAUUCAAUUCAAUUCAAUUCAAUUCAAUUCAAUUCAAUUCAAUUCAAUUCAAUUCAAUUCAAUUCAAUUCAAUUCAAUUCAAUUCAUAUCAAUUCAAUUGCCACUGUACAAGUGACAACAUCUGGUCGUCCUUUGGAGUGUGUUGUGUACAAACAGCUAACAACCUCUAAGUGCAGAUACAGUAAAUGAACUGGGAGCCAGAUGCCCCAACAGAACAGAAAGAGAGAGAUUUUCAAGGUGACAGUGCUGCUGUCCAGUGGACAGUAUGUGUGUGUGUGUGUGUGUGUGUGUGUGUGUGUGUGUGUGUGUGUGUGUGUGUGUGUGUGUGUGUGUGUGUGUGUGUUUGUGUUUGUGUGUACUUGUACUUGCAUCAAAGUAAGAGCCAAAAAAACUUAUUUUCCUACCAAAGUGAGGACAUUUUGGUCUCACAUCUUUCAAGACCUGUUUGAGGCUUAAGAUGUGAUUUUAGGGCUGAGGUUAGAAUUGAGUUUUGGUUCAGAUUAGAGCAAAAGUAGGACGUCUGCGUUUGGUUGUGAUGGUUAGUGUUAUGGUAAGGAGCAAGGGAAGACAUUUGGGCAUUAUGUCAAAGAAGGUCCUCACCUCCAUGGAAGUACAAGAAUGUGUGUGUGAGAGCAGACGCCAAGACGCUCAGCACUGAGAUGUUAUAAAAGCUCGUCAUAGUUUCUGUUUUUCAAAAGGAAACCAGUAGACUCUGUGACUGUCUGCCACGCCGGCACAAAGACAUUCCCUGUAUGCUCAUACUUAGAGAGGAAACAGAAAAAUGCACAUGGCAUGGCAAAAUCUAAACCAAGACUACAAAACAAAACAAAACACAGUAGAACUGGAAGUACAUGAAAUGCGUGCAAACGGAGCCUGUGAUGUGUUUGAGGUCCUGUCUUUUGUACUUUCCCUUUAUCUGCCACCUCC
Betta splendens (Siamese fighting fish) is the source of this 3145-nucleotide long non-coding RNA. RefSeq lists it as uncharacterized. NCBI's taxonomy places the organism in Eukaryota, Metazoa, Chordata, Actinopteri, Anabantiformes, Osphronemidae. The transcript is spliced from 3 exons. The record is from RefSeq and is a predicted model, not a curated record.